AGAGUUUGAUCAUGGCUCAGAUUGAACGCUGGCGGCAGGCCUAACACAUGCAAGUCGAGCGGUAGCACAGAGAGCUUGCUCUCGGGUGACGAGCGGCGGACGGGUGAGUAAUGUCUGGGAAACUGCCUGAUGGAGGGGGAUAACUACUGGAAACGGUAGCUAAUACCGCAUAACGUCGCAAGACCAAAGUGGGGGACCUUCGGGCCUCAUGCCAUCAGAUGUGCCCAGAUGGGAUUAGCUAGUAGGUGGGGUAACGGCUCACCUAGGCGACGAUCCCUAGCUGGUCUGAGAGGAUGACCAGCCACACUGGAACUGAGACACGGUCCAGACUCCUACGGGAGGCAGCAGUGGGGAAUAUUGCACAAUGGGCGCAAGCCUGAUGCAGCCAUGCCGCGUGUGUGAAGAAGGCCUUCGGGUUGUAAAGCACUUUCAGCGGGGAGGAAGGCGUUAAGGUUAAUAACCUCAUCGAUUGACGUUACCCGCAGAAGAAGCACCGGCUAACUCCGUGCCAGCAGCCGCGGUAAUACGGAGGGUGCAAGCGUUAAUCGGAAUUACUGGGCGUAAAGCGCACGCAGGCGGUCUGUCAAGUCGGAUGUGAAAUCCCCGGGCUCAACCUGGGAACUGCAUUCGAAACUGGCAGGCUAGAGUCUUGUAGAGGGGGGUAGAAUUCCAGGUGUAGCGGUGAAAUGCGUAGAGAUCUGGAGGAAUACCGGUGGCGAAGGCGGCCCCCUGGACAAAGACUGACGCUCAGGUGCGAAAGCGUGGGGAGCAAACAGGAUUAGAUACCCUGGUAGUCCACGCCGUAAACGAUGUCGAUUUGGAGGUUGUGCCCUUGAGGCGUGGCUUCCGGAGCUAACGCGUUAAAUCGACCGCCUGGGGAGUACGGCCGCAAGGUUAAAACUCAAAUGAAUUGACGGGGGCCCGCACAAGCGGUGGAGCAUGUGGUUUAAUUCGAUGCAACGCGAAGAACCUUACCUGGUCUUGACAUCCACAGAACUUAGCAGAGAUGCUUUGGUGCCUUCGGGAACUGUGAGACAGGUGCUGCAUGGCUGUCGUCAGCUCGUGUUGUGAAAUGUUGGGUUAAGUCCCGCAACGAGCGCAACCCUUAUCCUUUGUUGCCAGCGGUCCGGCCGGGAACUCAAAGGAGACUGCCAGUGAUAAACUGGAGGAAGGUGGGGAUGACGUCAAGUCAUCAUGGCCCUUACGACCAGGGCUACACACGUGCUACAAUGGCAUAUACAAAGAGAAGCGACCUCGCGAGAGCAAGCGGACCUCAUAAAGUAUGUCGUAGUCCGGAUUGGAGUCUGCAACUCGACUCCAUGAAGUCGGAAUCGCUAGUAAUCGUAGAUCAGAAUGCUACGGUGAAUACGUUCCCGGGCCUUGUACACACCGCCCGUCACACCAUGGGAGUGGGUUGCAAAAGAAGUAGGUAGCUUAACCUUCGGGAGGGCGCUUACCACUUUGUGAUUCAUGACUGGGGUGAAGUCGUAACAAGGUAACCGUAGGGGAACCUGCGGUUGGAUCACCU
This 1528-nucleotide ribosomal RNA is filed under the name Klebsiella oxytoca. RNAcentral's name for it is "bacterial SSU rRNA". It matches the Rfam family "Bacterial small subunit ribosomal RNA". RNAcentral also lists the same sequence under 64 other names. The record is from RNAcentral. Lineage: Bacteria; Pseudomonadati; Pseudomonadota; Gammaproteobacteria; Enterobacterales; Enterobacteriaceae.